RNAcentral lists this long non-coding RNA (266 nucleotides) under Elaeis guineensis (African oil palm). RNAcentral's name for it is "long non-coding RNA (EGUI_LNC051266)". Lineage: Eukaryota; Viridiplantae; Streptophyta; Magnoliopsida; Arecales; Arecaceae. The record is from RNAcentral.
AUGUUGGAUGAUCCUAAUGAAAAGAUUUUUAUCCAUAACCACUAGGCAUUAUGUCAGCAUCCAUCUUAAUCAGAUUGGAUAUUGAUAAAGUUGAUCAUCCAUAAUUUUAUUUUAAAUCAUCUGUAUACUGAUUUAAUCAUGAUUUGAUUAAAUUAUCUCGAUCGAACCAAUCAAAAUGUCGAGCAAUGUCACUUGAUCAGUCCUAUCCCAUCUUGUUAGUUUUUCUCUCCAUUUGAUUUAUGAGCUCAAUAAAGGAUUCCCGGCCC